RNAcentral lists this ribosomal RNA (489 nucleotides) under Triticum aestivum (bread wheat). Its description in RNAcentral is "partial small subunit ribosomal RNA". The record is from RNAcentral. Lineage: Eukaryota; Viridiplantae; Streptophyta; Magnoliopsida; Poales; Poaceae.
CGCAUAUGGGCUUUUCCUAUUGUUUUACUCUUAAGUAUAGCUAUGUUAUUCUCAAUUCAACUGUCUAUUCAAAAAAUAAAUGGAAGUUCGAUCUAUCGAUAUCUAUGGUCUUGGACCGUCAAUAAUGAUUUUUCUUUAGAAUUUGGAUAUUUGAUUGACCCACUUACUUCUAUUAUGUUAAUACUAAUUACUAUUGUAGGAAUCCUAGUUCUUAUUUAUAGUGAUGGUUAUAUGUCUCACGAUGAAGGAUAUUUGAGAUUUUUUGUUUAUAUAAGUUUUUUCAAUACUUCCAUGUUGGGAUUGGUUACUAGCUCCAAUUUGAUACAACUUUUUUGGGGGGAACUCGUAGGAAUGUGUUAUUAUUUAUUGAUAGGUUUUUGGUUUACACGACCAAUCGCAGCGAGUGCUUGUCAAAAAGCUUUAAUACUAGAGAGCGGAUAUAUCUCGCACUUAGCGAGACGGAAUAAAGCUCGUCUGAACACCAACUAG